Molecule: ribosomal RNA, 482 nt
Filed under: uncultured bacterium
Lineage: Bacteria
Description: partial 16S ribosomal RNA
Rfam family: Bacterial small subunit ribosomal RNA
Source: RNAcentral
AUUGAACGCUGGCGGCAUGCUUUACACAUGCAAGUCGAACGGCAGCGCGGGCUUCGGCCUGGCGGCGAGUGGCGAACGGGUGAGUAAUACAUCGGAACGUGCCCAGUAGUGGGGGAUAGCUCGGCGAAAGCCGGAUUAAUACCGCAUACGACCUGAGGGUGAAAGCGGGGAUCUUCGGACCUCGCGCUAUUGGAGCGGCCGAUGGCAGAUUAGCUAGUUGGUGGGGUAAAGGCCUACCAAGGCGACGAUCUGUAGCUGGUCUGAGAGGACGACCAGCCACACUGGGACUGAGACACGGCCCAGACUCCUACGGGAGGCAGCAGUGGGGAAUUUUGGACAAUGGGCGAAAGCCUGAUCCAGCAAUGCCGCGUGUGUGAUGAAGGCCUUCGGGUUGUAAAGCACUUUUGGCGGGAACGAAAAGGACUGUGCCAAUACCACGGUUCGAGGACGGUACCCGCAGAAUAAGCACCGGCUAACUACGU